Molecule: ribosomal RNA, 301 nt
Filed under: uncultured bacterium
Lineage: Bacteria
Description: partial 16S ribosomal RNA
Rfam family: Bacterial small subunit ribosomal RNA
Source: RNAcentral
CAGUAGCCGCGGGAAUACGAAGGGGGCUAGCGUUGCUCGGAAUGACUGGGCGUAAAGGGCGCGUAGGCGGCGAUCAAAGUCAGGCGUGAAAUUCCUGGGCUCAACCUAGGAAUUGCAUUUGAUACUGUUUGGCUUGAGUUCGGGAGAGGUGAGUGGAAUUCCCAGUGUAGAGGUGAAAUUCGUAGAGAUCGGGAGGAACAUCAGUGGCGAAGGCGGCCAUCUGGGACAACACUGACGCUGAGGCACGAAAGCGUGGGGAGCAAACAGGAUUAGAUACCCCUGUAGUCCCUGUCUCUUAUAC